Vicia faba (fava bean) is the source of this 237-nucleotide non-coding RNA. NCBI's taxonomy places the organism in Eukaryota, Viridiplantae, Streptophyta, Magnoliopsida, Fabales, Fabaceae. The record is from the annotation of a GenBank genome assembly.
AUGACAAUUCUUGUGUGUAGCUCAACAAAUCAUCACAUGCCGGAGAACGUCAACCACCGCGGCCUUGCUGGAGAACCAAAAAACCACAGUCGUCCGCCCUUACACCUUCGACCACUGCCGAAAUUCGCAUUUCCACCCUUGACCAUCGCUGGAAAUAAUCAACCACCGUCUGAAAGACUUCACCAUCGUCGUUAUUCACUUGUUACCAACUCAGAAAGGUUUCUAUUCAUCUUUUGA